This 252-nucleotide ribosomal RNA is filed under the name uncultured bacterium. RNAcentral's name for it is "partial 16S ribosomal RNA". It matches the Rfam family "Bacterial small subunit ribosomal RNA", at positions 524 to 776 of the family's 1533-position model. The record is from RNAcentral.
CACGGAGGAUGCGAGCGUUAUCCGGAUUUAUUGGGUUUAAAGGGUGCGUAGGCGGGAUGCCAAGUCAGCGGUAAAAAUGCGGUGCUCAACGCCGUCGAGCCGUUGAAACUGGCGUUCUUGAGUGGGCGAGAAGUAUGCGGAAUGCGUGGUGUAGCGGUGAAAUGCAUAGAUAUCACGCAGAACUCCGAUUGCGAAGACAGCAUACCGGCGCCCUACUGACGCUGAGGCACGAAAGCGUGGGUAUCGAACAGG